UACGUAGGGGGCUAGCGUUGUCCGGAAUCAUUGGGCGUAAAGCGCGCGUAGGCGGCCAGAUAAGUCCGGUGUGAAAGUCACAGGCUCAACCUGUGAAUGCCGCUGGAAACUGUCUGGCUAGAGUCCGGAAGGGGCGAGUGGAAUUCCUGGUGUAGCGGUGAAAUGCGCAGAUAUCAGGAGGAACACCGAUUGCGAAGGCAGCUCGCUGGGACGUUACUGACGCUGAGACGCGAAAGCGUGGGGAGCAAACAGG
Molecule: ribosomal RNA, 253 nt
Filed under: uncultured bacterium
Lineage: Bacteria
Description: partial 16S ribosomal RNA
Rfam family: Bacterial small subunit ribosomal RNA
Source: RNAcentral